Molecule: ribosomal RNA, 1554 nt
Filed under: Escherichia coli
Lineage: Bacteria; Pseudomonadati; Pseudomonadota; Gammaproteobacteria; Enterobacterales; Enterobacteriaceae
Description: bacterial SSU rRNA
Rfam family: Bacterial small subunit ribosomal RNA
Source: RNAcentral
AAAUUGAAGAGUUUGAUCAUGGCUCAGAUUGAACGCUGGCGGCAGGCCUAACACAUGCAAGUCGAACGGUAACAGGAAACAGCUUGCUGUUUCGCUGACGAGUGGCGGACGGGUGAGUAAUGUCUGGGAAACUGCCUGAUGGAGGGGGAUAACUACUGGAAACGGUAGCUAAUACCGCAUAACGUCGCAAGACCAAAGAGGGGGACCUUCGGGCCUCUUGCCAUCGGAUGUGCCCAGAUGGGAUUAGCUUGUUGGUGGGGUAACGGCUCACCAAGGCGACGAUCCCUAGCUGGUCUGAGAGGAUGACCAGCCACACUGGAACUGAGACACGGUCCAGACUCCUACGGGAGGCAGCAGUGGGGAAUAUUGCACAAUGGGCGCAAGCCUGAUGCAGCCAUGCCGCGUGUAUGAAGAAGGCCUUCGGGUUGUAAAGUACUUUCAGCGGGGAGGAAGGGAGUAAAGUUAAUACCUUUGCUCAUUGACGUUACCCGCAGAAGAAGCACCGGCUAACUCCGUGCCAGCAGCCGCGGUAAUACGGAGGGUGCAAGCGUUAAUCGGAAUUACUGGGCGUAAAGCGCACGCAGGCGGUUUGUUAAGUCAGAUGUGAAAUCCCCGGGCUCAACCUGGGAACUGCAUCUGAUACUGGCAAGCUUGAGUCUCGUAGAGGGGGGUAGAAUUCCAGGUGUAGCGGUGAAAUGCGUAGAGAUCUGGAGGAAUACCGGUGGCGAAGGCGGCCCCCUGGACGAAGACUGACGCUCAGGUGCGAAAGCGUGGGGAGCAAACAGGAUUAGAUACCCUGGUAGUCCACGCCGUAAACGAUGUCGACUUGGAGGUUGUGCCCUUGAGGCGUGGCUUCCGGAGCUAACGCGUUAAGUCGACCGCCUGGGGAGUACGGCCGCAAGGUUAAAACUCAAAUGAAUUGACGGGGGCCCGCACAAGCGGUGGAGCAUGUGGUUUAAUUCGAUGCAACGCGAAGAACCUUACCUGGUCUUGACAUCCACAGAACUUUCCAGAGAUGAGAUUGUGCCUUCGGGAACUGUGAGACAGGUGCUGCAUGGCUGUCGUCAGCUCGUGUUGUGAAAUGUUGGGUUAAGUCCCGCAACGAGCGCAACCCUUAUCCUUUGUUGCCAGCGGUCCGGCCGGGAACUCAAAGGAGACUGCCAGUGAUAAACUGGAGGAAGGUGGGGAUGACGUCAAGUCAUCAUGGCCCUUACGACCAGGGCUACACACGUGCUACAAUGGCGCAUACAAAGAGAAGCGACCUCGCGAGAGCAAGCGGACCUCAUAAAGUGCGUCGUAGUCCGGAUUGGAGUCUGCAACUCGACUCCAUGAAGUCGGAAUCGCUAGUAAUCGUGGAUCAGAAUGCCACGGUGAAUACGUUCCCGGGCCUUGUACACACCGCCCGUCACACCAUGGGAGUGGGUUGCAAAAGAAGUAGGUAGCUUAACCUUCGGGAGGGCGCUUACCACUUUGUGAUUCAUGACUGGGGUGAAGUCGUAACAAGGUAACCGUAGGGGAACCUGCGGUUGGAUCACCUCCUUACCUUAAAGAAGC